This is a long non-coding RNA of Cyprinus carpio (common carp), 138 nucleotides long. RefSeq lists it as uncharacterized. The record is from RefSeq and is a predicted model, not a curated record. NCBI's taxonomy places the organism in Eukaryota, Metazoa, Chordata, Actinopteri, Cypriniformes, Cyprinidae. The transcript has 3 exons.
GUUGCAAAUGCAGUCGACAGACAAUUUAUCCAUACGAUAAAAUAUUGGAAAGACGGAUGAAUGGGGGGAAGGCAGCAGAGGUCAAAGUGCACUGGCUACCUUGCUCUUCCUGUGGCAGAGUCUGGGAGGACACCUGAG